This 497-nucleotide ribosomal RNA is filed under the name uncultured bacterium. RNAcentral describes it as "partial 16S ribosomal RNA". It matches the Rfam family "Bacterial small subunit ribosomal RNA", at positions 28 to 507 of the family's 1533-position model. The record is from RNAcentral.
GACGAACGCUGGCGGCGUGCCUAAUACAUGCAAGUUGAGCGCUGAAGGUUGGUACUUGUACCAACUGGAUGAGCAGCGAACGGGUGAGUAACGCGUGGGGAAUCUGCCUUUGAGAGGGGGACAACAUUUGGAAACGAAUGCUAAUACCGCAUAAAAACUUUAAACACAAGUUUUAAGUUUGAAAGAUGCAAUUGCAUCACUCAAAGAUGAUCCCGCGUUGUAUUAGCUAGUUGGUGAGGUAAAGGCUCACCAAGGCGAUGAUACAUAGCCGACCUGAGAGGGUGAUCGGCCACAUUGGGACUGAGACACGGCCCAAACUCCUACGGGAGGCAGCAGUAGGGAAUCUUCGGCAAUGGACGAAAGUCUGACCGAGCAACGCCGCGUGAGUGAAGAAGGUUUUCGGAUCGUAAAACUCUGUUGGUAGAGAAGAACGUUGGUGAGAGUGGAAAGCUCAUCAAGUGACGGUAACUACCCAGAAAGGGACGGCUAACUACGUG